CUGAAUCCUGUCACAACCUGGGAGGGUUAAACCCUCUGAAGAUCUCAGCAGGGAGAGGGCCACUGGAACUCUCAGGCCUCCCUCCUGACUUUACCCGCCUGGCUCAGCCUUCUCCUGAUUGGAGAAUGACCAGGUGUCUGAGACCACCUAGACCACUUAGAUUGCAGGUGAAAAUUCUUCAAGAUGGGAUUUGCUCCUGCUCCUCAUCCUCCACCCCUGCUCUGGCAGGUGAUCCUUUGUGAGCUAAAGCCCCGCCUCCACCUCAGGAAUGACCAGGUCCCUGGGCCCUGAGGGCUUUGGAAGGGACCAGCAAAUGAAAGGAGCCUGAGUGCUAAGGCCACCUGGCCGGCAGGGAGAAACAGGAUCAAGCAGCCACCCUGGAGCCAUUCCCGAGGAUCUGCCCAUACUGGAAGCUUAAUACCAGCAAGAUUAGUCACACAAAAAUAACAGGAAGAUGACCUGCACAGACACAUCAAACAGCAUUGAAGGGAUGGUGAGGAGCUGUCAUCUAAGAAGACAUUUUUGGCAUUUCUACUUUUUAAAAAAUAUGUCAGUAAAAGUAAUGGGUUCAAG
Molecule: long non-coding RNA, 573 nt
Organism: Phyllostomus hastatus (greater spear-nosed bat)
Lineage: Eukaryota; Metazoa; Chordata; Mammalia; Chiroptera; Phyllostomidae
Exons: 3
Source: RefSeq, a predicted model, not a curated record